CACAUCGGGACUGAGACACGGCCCGAACUCCUACGGGAGGCAGCAGUGGGGAAUAUUGGACAAUGGGCGCAAGCCUGAUCCAGCCAUGCCGCGUGUGUGAAGAAGGCCCUCGGGUUGUAAAGCACUUUCAGUGGGGAAGAAAUCCUCGGGGCUAAUACCCUCGAGGGAGGACAUCACCCACAGAAGAAGCACCGGCUAACUCCGUGCCAGCAGCCGCGGUAAUACGGAGGGUGCGAGCGUUAAUCGGAAUUACUGGGCGUAAAGCGCGCGUAGGCGGCCUGAUAAGCCGGUUGUGAAAGCCCCGGGCUCAACCUGGGAACGGCAUCCGGAACUGUCAGGCUAGAGUGCAGGAGAGGAAGGUAGAAUUCCCGGUGUAGCGGUGAAAUGCGUAGAGAUCGGGAGGAAUACCAGUGGCGAAGGCGGCCUUCUGGACUGACACUGACGCUGAGGUGCGAAAGCGUGGGUAGCAAACAGGAUUAGAUACCCUGGUAGUCCACGCCGUAAACGAUG
Molecule: ribosomal RNA, 510 nt
Filed under: Halomonas shengliensis
Lineage: Bacteria; Pseudomonadati; Pseudomonadota; Gammaproteobacteria; Oceanospirillales; Halomonadaceae
Description: bacterial SSU rRNA
Rfam family: Bacterial small subunit ribosomal RNA
Source: RNAcentral